Non-coding RNA from Cerioporus squamosus, 83 nucleotides. The record is from the annotation of a GenBank genome assembly. NCBI's taxonomy places the organism in Eukaryota, Fungi, Basidiomycota, Agaricomycetes, Polyporales, Polyporaceae.
UGCCCCAUGGCUGAGUUGGUCACAGCGUCCGACUGUUACUUCCCGCAAUCGGAAGGUCGUGAGUUCGAGCCUCACUGGGGCAG